GUUGAAUUCAGAUAGAUGACCCCAAGGCAAUAACGAGCAGUAAGGAAGACUGCUCUUUGUCCUGGGGGAAGACGUGAGCUCACUCUUCAAGGUUGCUCCCUGAAAACACAGCCCUGAGAACUUGACCAGGUGGUUUUGCUCUUCUUAUUGAUAUGAAGAUGUCAGAGUACUCCUACAAAAUCCUCUAUUACUGGGAUAGACUGAGGGUUCUGUCACUUGUGAUCAACAUAUUACUAUGUAAGACUGAAACAUUUGGCUGGUUCCUCAUCAGAAAACCGGGAGGAUGUAGUAAACAGAGAAACUACAAUACUGACAUUUCACAACUCUGUUCUCCUACUGCCUGCUUUGUUUGAGGAAGUUGAAAAAGAAGAUGACUGGGAGGAAG
This 385-nucleotide long non-coding RNA is filed under the name Equus caballus (horse). RNAcentral describes it as "lncRNA (ENSECAG00000045560.1)". The record is from RNAcentral. Lineage: Eukaryota; Metazoa; Chordata; Mammalia; Perissodactyla; Equidae.